GGCGGCGUGCUAUACAUGCAGUCGAGCGGACGAAUCGAAAGCUUGCUUUUGAUUCGUUAGCGGCGGACGGGUGAGUAACACGUGGGCAACCUGCCCUGUAGACGGGGAUAACACCGAGAAAUCGGUGCUAAUACCGGAUAACACGAAAUGUCGCAUGACGUUUCGUUGAAAGACGGCGCAAGCUGUCGCUACAGGAUGGGCCCGCGGCGCAUUAGCUAGUUGGUGAGGUAACGGCUCACCAAGGCGACGAUGCGUAGCCGACCUGAGAGGGUGAUCGGCCACACUGGGACUGAGACACGGCCCAAACUCCUACGGGAGGCAGCAGUAGGGAAUCUUCCGCAAUGGACGAAAGUCUGACGGAGCAACGCCGCGUGAGCGAAGAAGGCCUUCGGGUCGUAAAGCUCUGUUGUUAGGGAAGAACAAGUAACGCAGUAACUGGCGUUACCGUGACGGUACCUAACGAGAAAGCCACGGCUAACUACGUGCCAGCAGCCGCGGUAAUACGUAGGUGGCAAGCGUUGUCCGGAAUUAUUGGGCGUAAAGCGCGCGCAGGCGGUUCCUUAAGUCUGAUGUGAAAGCCCACGGCUCAACCGUGGAGGGUCAUUGGAAACUGGGGGACUUGAGUGCAGAAGAGGAGAGCGGAAUUCCACGUGUAGCGGU
This 660-nucleotide ribosomal RNA is filed under the name uncultured bacterium. Its description in RNAcentral is "bacterial SSU rRNA". It matches the Rfam family "Bacterial small subunit ribosomal RNA", at positions 38 to 682 of the family's 1533-position model. The record is from RNAcentral.